RNAcentral lists this ribosomal RNA (548 nucleotides) under uncultured Glomeromycotina. Its description in RNAcentral is "SSU rRNA". It matches the Rfam family "Eukaryotic small subunit ribosomal RNA", at positions 548 to 1098 of the family's 1831-position model. Lineage: Eukaryota; Fungi; Glomeromycota. The record is from RNAcentral.
UUGGAGGGCAAGUCUGGUGCCAGCAGCCGCGGUAAUUCCAACUCCAAUAGCGUAUAUUAAAGUUGUUGCAGUUAAAAAGCUCGUAGUUGAAUUUCGGGAUCAAAUUGUUGGUCGUGCUUCGGUACGCACUGGCAUUAUUGGUUCCUACCUUCUGAAGAACCGCGAUGUCAUUAAUUUGGUGUCGUGGGGAAUCAGGACUGUUACUUUGAAAAAAUUAGAGUGUUUAAAGCAGGCUUACGCGUGAAUACAUUAGCAUGGAAUAAUGAAAUAGGACGUUUGAUUCUAUUUUGUUGGUUUCUAGGAUCGACGUAAUGAUUAAUAGGGAUAGUUGGGGGCAUUAGUAUUCAAUUGUCAGAGGUGAAAUUCUUGGAUUUAUUGAAGACUAACUACUGCGAAAGCAUUUGCCAAGGAUGUUUUCAUUAAUCAAGAACGAAAGUUAGGGGAUCGAAGACGAUCAGAUACCGUCGUAGUCUUAACCAUAAACUAUGCCGACUAGGGAUCGGAUGAUGUUAAUUUUUUAAUGACUCAUUCGGCGCCUUACGGGAAAC